GUCCUAAGCUGAGGCCGACAGGCGUAGGCGAUGGAUAACAGGUUGAUAUUCCUGUACCACCUAGCAUCGUUUUAAUCGAUGGGGGGACGCAGUAGGAUAGGCGAAGCGUACGAUUGGAUUGUACGUCUAAGCAGUGAGAUUGAGUGUUAGGCAAAUCCGGCACUCUUAAGAUUGAGCUGUGAUGGGGAGAGGAAAUUGUUUCCUCGAGUCGUUGAUUUCACACUGCCGAGAAAAGCCUCUAGAUAGAUAAUAGGUGCCCGUACCGCAAACCGACACAGGUAGUCAAGAUGAGAAUUCUAAGGUGAGCGAGCGAACUCUCGUUAAGGAACUCGGCAAAAUGACCCCGUAACUUCGGGAGAAGGGGUGCUCUUUAGGGUGCAAGCCCAGAAGAGCCGCAGUGAAUAGGCCCAAGCGACUGUUUAUCAAAAACACAGGUCUCUGCUAAACCGUAAGGUGAUGUAUAGGGGCUGACGCCUGCCCGGUGCUGGAAGGUUAAGAGGAGUGGUUAGCUUCUGCGAAGCUACGAAUCGAAGCCCCAGUAAACGGCGGCCGUAACUAUAACGGUCCUAAGGUAGCGAAAUUCCUUGUCGGGUAAGUUCCGACCCGCACGAAAGGCGUAACGAUUUGGGCA
RNAcentral lists this ribosomal RNA (631 nucleotides) under Staphylococcus haemolyticus. RNAcentral describes it as "partial 23S ribosomal RNA". It matches the Rfam family "Bacterial large subunit ribosomal RNA", at positions 1388 to 2015 of the family's 2925-position model. Lineage: Bacteria; Bacillati; Bacillota; Bacilli; Caryophanales; Staphylococcaceae. The record is from RNAcentral.